UAUGUACCGUAACGUAAUUAAUUAUAAAACAAAUUAGUGAACUUUCGUUAAUUAGCCCAAUGUGCGUAACGAUUUAUUGUGCAAGUAAUGUCCGCCUCUCUGAAUAUUAUAAUCCAGCUCAAGAAAUAUAAUAAUGGUGUCUGCAACAGACGUUUUUUUGAAAAUUCCCUAAAACUUAAAGAUGAUCACCCCGUAUAGAGAACAUGUCUUGCGUGAUAAUAAGGCUUUGCAAUCCAGGUAUUACUCCACCUUAUGUAUAUAUAGGUUCUGUCACCAAUGCGCAUUGCUCAACUAAAUGAUGGAGCAUACAUAAUAGAGAACGUUAUACAAUGUCUCAGUAAGACACACUGUAAAUCCGGUACAGUAGCAUGCGCAAGAUAUAUAGACGUCGUCAUGCAAAUAGCCAACCACAAAAGUACCGGACAUAAUGAAAGAAAACAAGGGCAAUAUAAUACACAAAUGACGUGCAGAAAUAUAUGAUAACUCGCGAUCUCGUUGUGAAUAGAGAUAAAUGUGCACGUUGAAGAGCACCAGGUGGUCAAAAUUAAACCGGAUAUCCUUCCACUACGUACGCAGGGUCCUUGACAUAUCCCACGUACUUGGGACUUUACACGUGCACCUAGUGCAACUGCUUUCAUUUUCUUUUUACUUCUUGAAGAACCCCUUGCGGAGUAUUGUAUAGAAGGUGGGAAUAUAAGCAAUUGAAUCAAAGCUCGUACACCAUAUUACUUACAAAGCACUUGUUAUCUGGUCCAUGAAGGCAAAUGAAGUGGUGAUUGCGGCGGCGUGGUAGCGGAGGCCGGUUCCGGAGGUUGUACUUCGUCAUCGUUUGCGGACGCUGUGUCCAGACAUUGCGGGUGGUGGUGAACUAAUUAACGAUUGCACCCAUUCCCCCUCUAUCCUUACCCACUCACAUAUUGGUUCCGACGACCUCGUAUAAUUAAGCGUAAAAAAAUAAAAACGCAGUGAGAAACGCAGUCACUAUAGCCGUGACGACAGUCGCCUCAGGGAGACGCGUUAAAGUGAAAUUUAGCGCGAGUCAUUUUGACCUUGCGUAGAUAACGACGGUGAACACGGAAUAGCGAGUGCAUCGUAAAUGGCUGCAGUCCGCGUAAUUGAUUACCGAAUUUGCAGUGAAAAGCGGUAAAGUGAACUGACAUUGCAGAGAGUCUUCUGAAAGUCUCCAGCAGUUUUUCGUGCGCGUAAACUUCCUCGAAAAAAAAAAAAAACGCAGUCAGUAUCGCUGAUGUGCAACGGGCACGUAGAGCUGUAUGCACACGAGAUCCGCCGCCUUCGAAGCUUCCUCUUUUUCCGUGCUUUCAUCUCGUGCUCCCAACUCAGCGUUUAGAAAAGUGGGCUCGCAAAAGGCUAUACGCGCACAGUUUUUAUGGCACAUUCGAGCGACCGUUUCAGAGCGCUCCGGUAGCGUCACAAACGUCGUGCAAGACGGCAACUAAGCUUUAGUACGUGCGUAAACGGGACCACAUGGUGAUAACGGAGCCAGAUGAUAGGUGCAGUAUAGUCGGUUACUUUAUAACAUCGCAGCUUUAAAGCUGUGCUUAACUAUUUUUUGUACCACAGCAAAAGCGCUCUGAAACUGUGCCGAUCAGUUCAUGCUGACGGGUCUCCUUUAUCAACAGGGGGCGUUCCCAGCGUGUCGACUACCCUGCACGGUGCGCGUAUACUUUGUCUUCUUAGUUCCGUGCAGCGGUGCCAACCCUGCGAGGGCAACAAAGUGCGGAACCGACAGGACGACAGUGAAGUGAACAUGGAUACAUUUAUAGAUGCGUUUACCUUCCUGAUUGGUCGAGGCGCCCGAAGAUUCCAGCGUGCUGCACGGUAUUACUCACACAGAGUGUAGAACGCUUGGGCUUUGAUUCGCGCGGUGUCACCAUGAUGCACGGUGUGCGCGGGUCGAUACAUCGCAUACGCGCUUCUUUUCUUUUUUUUUUUUUUUUCUAGCUUUGGGCGUGCGUGCGUCGUAAAGUCAUGUGUGGCUCACAACCUUCAAACAUAAAUUCAAGAGACUGCGGAGCAGUCUAUUGUUUCUGAUGCGCGAUGCACAUGUAAAGAUUACGCUGGCGGUCGGCAGUGGCUGUCCUCCACGAGGCGAAUAUAGUAUAUGUUACAGGGAAUCGGCUACGAAUGCAACGGGUCGAUGGCCGACGCCAGCGCGACAACGAACGUGCAACUCUGGCGAGGUGGGUACGUUACGUCACUAUGGGCUGACCCGGCAACCAGACGUCAUCAUGAUGUUCAAGCCGAAGUCAGCACUCAAGGUCGAAGCAGCCUGCAAACGUGAAUAAAGAGCCGUUCGCAUCU
Molecule: non-coding RNA, 2322 nt
Organism: Dermacentor andersoni
Lineage: Eukaryota; Metazoa; Arthropoda; Arachnida; Ixodida; Ixodidae
Source: RefSeq, a predicted model, not a curated record